RNAcentral lists this ribosomal RNA (539 nucleotides) under Proteomonas sp. RCC506. RNAcentral's name for it is "SSU rRNA". It matches the Rfam family "Eukaryotic small subunit ribosomal RNA", at positions 609 to 1159 of the family's 1831-position model. Lineage: Eukaryota; Cryptophyceae; Pyrenomonadales; Geminigeraceae. The record is from RNAcentral.
GUUGUUGCAGUUAAAAAGCUCGUAGUCGGAUGUCGGGCUUGGGCAGGCUGUCGGCUUUUGUCGGACGGCAGGCUCGGGCCUUUCUGCCUGGGGACCGCGUCACACUUCACUGUGGGGCGUCGGGACGCAGGCCGUUUACUUUGAAAAAAUUAGAGUGUUCAAAGCAGGCCUACGCUUGAAUACAUUAGCAUGGAAUAAUGGAAUAGGACUUUGGUGCCAUUCUGUUGGUUUAUGGAACCGAAGUAAUGAUUAAUAGGGACAGUUGGGGCCGUUUAUAUUUCGUUGUCAGAGGUGAAAUUCUUGGAUUUACGAAAGAUAAACUUCUGCGAAAGCAUUCGGCAAGGAUGUUUUCAUUGAUCAAGAACGAAAGUUAGGGGAUCGAAGACGAUCAGAUACCGUCGUAGUCUUAACCAUAAACUAUGCCGACUAGGGAUCAGUGGAUGUCAAUUUGCGACUCCAUUGGCACCUUGUGAGAAAUCAAAGUUUUUGGGUUCCGGGGGGAGUAUGGUCGCAAGGCUGAAACUUAAAGGAAUUGACGG